CAAUAGCGUAUAUUAAAGCUGUUGCGGUUAAAAAGCUCGUAGUUGGAUUUCUGUCAAGGACAACUGGUCCGCCCUCCGGGUGAGCACAUAGUUUGGUCUUGGCAUCUUGUUCAAAACUGCUACUGCGCUUGGUUGUGUGGUGCAGUUUUGGGCACUUUCACUUUGAGGAAAUUGGAGUGUUUCAAGCAGGCACAUGCCUUUGGACACAGUAGCAUGGAAUAAUUAGAUUGGGCUUUUGCUCCAACUUGUCGGUUCCUGGAGCUGAGGUGAGAAUCAAUGGGGAUUGUUGGGGGCAUCUGAAUUUAGCCGUCAGAGGUGAAAUUCUUGGAUCUGCUAAAGACGGACAACUGCGAAAGCGUUUGCCCAGGAUGUUUUCAUUGA
RNAcentral lists this ribosomal RNA (381 nucleotides) under uncultured eukaryote. RNAcentral describes it as "partial 18S ribosomal RNA". It matches the Rfam family "Eukaryotic small subunit ribosomal RNA", at positions 592 to 976 of the family's 1831-position model. The record is from RNAcentral.